GACGAACGCUGGCGGCGUGCCUAAUACAUGCAAGUAGAACGCUGAAGGAGGAGCUUGCUUCUCUGGAUGAGUUGCGAACGGGUGAGUAACGCGUAGGUAACCUGCCUGGUAGCGGGGGAUAACUAUUGGAAACGAUAGCUAAUACCGCAUAAUAGCAGUUGUUGCAUGAUAACUGUUUGAAAGGUGCAAUUGCACCACUACCAGAUGGACCUGCAUUGUAUUAGCUAGUUGGUGGGGUAACGGCUCACCAAGGCGACGAUACAUAGCCGACCUGAGAGGGGGAUCGGCCACACUGGGACGGAGACACGGCCCAGACUCCUACGGGAGGCAGCAGUAGGGAAUCUUCGGCAAUGGACGGAAGUCUGACCGAGCAACGCCGCGGGAGUGAAGAAGGUUUUCGGAUCGUAAAGCUCUGUUGUAAGAGAAGAACGAGUGUGAGAGUGGAAAGUUCACACUGUGACGGUAUCUUACCAGAAAGGGACGGCUAACUACGUG
This 495-nucleotide ribosomal RNA is filed under the name uncultured bacterium. Its description in RNAcentral is "partial 16S ribosomal RNA". It matches the Rfam family "Bacterial small subunit ribosomal RNA", at positions 28 to 507 of the family's 1533-position model. The record is from RNAcentral.